RNAcentral lists this long non-coding RNA (193 nucleotides) under Amphimedon queenslandica. Its description in RNAcentral is "uncharacterized LOC109584145". The record is from RNAcentral. Lineage: Eukaryota; Metazoa; Porifera; Demospongiae; Haplosclerida; Niphatidae.
GUAAAAUUUAAAAUGGCUGAAAGUUGAAAAAGGUAACCCUUCAAUAAUGUUGAGAGACAUUCUUCCUGUUUGCUCAAGCUGUCUGCUGUAGUAAUGUAUCUGUUUGCAGUUUAAAUUCAGUGUUUUAUGAAUUAGCAAUCAUUAUUGAUCACAUUUACUAUAUUUAAUUCUAUAUUUUGUUUUGUACAACCUA